GACGAACGCUGGCGGCGUGCCUAACACAUGCAAGUCGAACGGUCUUUUCUAUGGAAGCUUGCUGAAGUAUCUGUUAGUAGCGGACGGGUGAGUAAUGCAUGAGAAGCUGCCAUUGGGAGGGGGACAACAGUUGGAAACGGCUGCUAAUACCCCAUAUGCCGGAAGGUGAAACGGAGUGAUCCGCCCGAUGAGGUGCUCAUGUCCUAUCAG
RNAcentral lists this ribosomal RNA (210 nucleotides) under uncultured bacterium. Its description in RNAcentral is "partial 16S ribosomal RNA". It matches the Rfam family "Bacterial small subunit ribosomal RNA", at positions 28 to 244 of the family's 1533-position model. The record is from RNAcentral.